AAAACAUCGCCUCCUGCAAUAUAACCCAGUAUAGGAGGUCAAACCUGCCCAGUGACUACGGGUUCAACGGCCGCGGUAUUUUAACCGUGCUAAGGUAGCGUAAUCACUUGUCUCUUAAAUAAAGACCAGUAUGAAUGGCUAGACGAGGGCUUAACUGUCUCCCAUUUCAAGUCAGUGAAAUUGAUCUGCCCGUGCAGAAGCGGACAUAAUUAUACAAGACGAGAAGACCCUUUGGAGCUUGAGGUACAAGACAUAACCACGUUAAACAACUCCUUAAAAAGCACAAACUUUAUGAGAUAUAUGACCUUACCUUCGGUUGGGGCGACAGCGGAGCAAAAACAAGCCUCCAAGAGGAUUGGGAUAAACUUUCCUAAAACCAAGAGAAACACCUCCAAGACACAGAAUAUUUGACCUAAACAUGAUCCGGCUGCUGAAGCCGAUCAACGGACCAAGUUACCCCAGGGAUAACAGCGCAAUCCUCUCCCAGAGUCCAUAUCGACAAGGGGGUUUACGACCUCGAUGUUGGAUCAGGACAUCCUAAUGGUGCAACCGCUAUUAAGGGUUCGUUUGUUCAACGAUUAAUGUCCUACGUGA
This 594-nucleotide ribosomal RNA is filed under the name Osteochilus microcephalus. RNAcentral describes it as "partial 16S ribosomal RNA". It matches the Rfam family "Bacterial large subunit ribosomal RNA", at positions 1810 to 2603 of the family's 2925-position model. Lineage: Eukaryota; Metazoa; Chordata; Actinopteri; Cypriniformes; Cyprinidae. The record is from RNAcentral.